CGGAGGAUCCAAGCGUUAUCCGGAAUCAUUGGGUUUAAAGGGUCCGUAGGCGGUCUUGUAAGUCAGUGGUGAAAGCCCAUCGCUCAACGGUGGAACGGCCAUUGAUACUGCUGGACUUGAAUUAUUAGGAAGUAACUAGAAUAUGUAGUGUAGCGGUGAAAUGCUUAGAGAUUACAUGGAAUACCAAUUGCGAAGGCAGGUUACUACUAAUUGAUUGACGCUGAUGGACGAAAGCGUGGGGGAGCGAACAGGAUU
This 255-nucleotide ribosomal RNA is filed under the name uncultured bacterium. Its description in RNAcentral is "partial 16S ribosomal RNA". It matches the Rfam family "Bacterial small subunit ribosomal RNA", at positions 526 to 779 of the family's 1533-position model. The record is from RNAcentral.